Paramuricea clavata is the source of this 175-nucleotide non-coding RNA. NCBI's taxonomy places the organism in Eukaryota, Metazoa, Cnidaria, Anthozoa, Malacalcyonacea, Plexauridae. The record is from the annotation of a GenBank genome assembly.
AAAAAUGGAUCUGAUGGAUCUGAUGGAUCCGAUGGAUCCAAUGGAUUUUAGUUAUAUAAAAAAAAAUGGAUCCGAUGGAUCCAAUGGAUAACUAAAAUCCAUUGGAUCCAUCGGAUCUAUUUUUUUUAUAACUAAAAUCCAUUGGAUCCAUCAGAUGCAUCGGAUCCAUUUUUUU